AUACGAUAUUAAUGAGAAUGCUUAAAAAGAUUAUCUUCUGUGGGAUGACAUAAUACGAGAUGAUUGCAAUUUUUGUUUCUAAAAAGUAGAUGGAGAGAUUAAGAUAAAUUAUGGAAUAGAGUCAAUCAUGGUGAAUUAUCACUAAAUUCAGCCAAAAGUUUGCUUGAAGUCUGUUGCACCUCUAUGUUCUGUCCAAGUCACUUAUGACAAUAAAAUGAGAUUUGAACAGAGGAAGCUUUUCAGGUUACUUUCCAACCAAAUGACAAUCCAAAACUACUAAACUUUCACUGCAAAACAGUGACAGCAGAUCAUGAGAAAGCUUUAUGUAGCCAGGCAUAGGCUUCCCUAGGAGUGUCUGGGACAUGCUCCUUCAUGUUACUAGAGGCAUGUGCUUUGCAUGCCCAUCAGGUCUGCGAAAGGCAGAGAGAGUGAGCUGGGGAUGUCAAGUAUGUGCUUCCAAGUGCAUGAUCAAGGGGAGGCUGGGGGAGCUUCAAGAAAGAGCAUUGGAAAUUUCAUCCAUCUUUAACACUGCAGAUGCAAGCCUGCAUCUUAUUUGGGGGGCUAAUCCAACCCAGAGGGUGUCAACAGCACAUGCAGCUCUUCGUGAUCCUGGAGCAGGAGCAAGCAAAUCUUGCUCUCAGUGAAAUUGUAGCAAAGAACCUCAGACUUGAUCAAAUCUGUUUGCCCUUCUCCCCCUGAUCCUCUGGAGCAGUAAUUGGAUUGUUGUAUAAAACUAGUGAAAAUAGCAUUUUCCAUUUUCAAGCAUCAAAGAUCUUCACAAGUAUUUAUUGAUUGCUGUCUCUCAUGAAUCAUCUUUGAAGCAGGCAAGGUCUGUUACAUCUGUUUAACCAAUGGAUAAACAAGCCUUGGGGUCUCUCAUAGAGCUUGAAUGACAUUCUGGCAUCGAUAUUUCCAUUAAAUUCCAUCUUUCAUGUCAAACUCUUACAGAAGACUUCAUCCUACUCUGCCAAGCCUGGAUCUGGACUCCACAGUCCAUGACUAUUACUACUGUCAGUGUUAGCUCAACACAUUGCAGCAGAGUGCAGACACUGCACAACCAAGGACAUGCACAAUGAUGGUUUUCUUCUUAUCUCUCCAUGCUGUCGUAGAGGUGUCAGCAAACUGCUACUGGACAGGCUUUCAAGCAUUGGCUGGGAUGAGCUGCACAGGGUGACACAGGCCAUAAAAUGUACAAGAAAGCCUUCAGCUGAAGUAAGUUGAGGCAGUCCCUCUGCACCCUCAUGCAGUGAGAGACCAAGCAGCUGGGUUCCCAUAUACCUACUUGACCUCCCUUACCUCCUGCAGUUUAAUAAUUUCCAUACAUUACAUAAUUGUCCAGGAACUUUCAAGGGGAAAUUAAACAUUUUGGACUUUACACAACUGAAAUAAUUUGUUGGAAUGAUUUGAAAUGUUUUCUUUUGAACCAUUUUGGCUGUUAUUCCCUCCCAGGUACACAUAACUGAAGAUGACCUACCAGUCUUCUCCAUCAGGAACCAUGUUACUUGGGUGGGUGCACACAUAUAUCAC
Molecule: long non-coding RNA, 1527 nt
Filed under: Anas platyrhynchos platyrhynchos (common mallard)
Lineage: Eukaryota; Metazoa; Chordata; Aves; Anseriformes; Anatidae
Description: lncRNA (ENSAPLG00000020785.1)
Source: RNAcentral